Molecule: ribosomal RNA, 397 nt
Filed under: uncultured bacterium
Lineage: Bacteria
Description: partial 16S ribosomal RNA
Rfam family: Bacterial small subunit ribosomal RNA
Source: RNAcentral
AUACGUAGGGGGCGAGCGUUGUCCGGAAUGAUUGGGCGUAAAGGGCGCGUAGGCGGCCCGGUAAGUCUGGAGUGAAAGUCCUGUUUUUAAGAUGGGAAUUGCUUUGGAUACUGUCGGGCUUGAGUGCAGGAGAGGUAAGUGGAAUUCCCAGUGUAGCGGUGAAAUGCGUAGAGAUUGGGAGGAACACCAGUGGCGAAGGCGACUUACUGGACUGUAACUGACGCUGAGGCGCGAAAGUGUGGGGAGCAAACAGGAUUAGAUACCCUGGUAGUCCACACUGUAAACGAUGAAUGCUAGGUAUAGGGGGUAUCGACCCCUUCUGUGCCGCAGUCAACACAAUAAGCAUUCCGCCUGGGGAGUACGGCCGCAAGGUUGAAACUCAAAUGAAUUGACGGGG